GGCUAGGUAGCUCAGUUGGUACGAGCGUCCGCCUGAAAAGCGGAAGGUCGGCGGUUCGACCCCGCCCCUAGCCACCA
This 77-nucleotide transfer RNA is filed under the name Candidatus Nocardiopsis merdipullorum. Its description in RNAcentral is "tRNA-Phe". It matches the Rfam family "tRNA". From Rfam's summary of the family: Transfer RNA (tRNA) molecules are approximately 80 nucleotides in length. Their secondary structure includes four short double-helical elements and three loops (D, anti-codon, and T loops). RNAcentral also lists the same sequence under 1 other name. Lineage: Bacteria; Bacillati; Actinomycetota; Actinomycetes; Streptosporangiales; Nocardiopsidaceae. The record is from RNAcentral.